Long non-coding RNA from Felis catus (domestic cat), 1517 nucleotides. RefSeq lists it as uncharacterized. The transcript has 3 exons. NCBI's taxonomy places the organism in Eukaryota, Metazoa, Chordata, Mammalia, Carnivora, Felidae. The record is from RefSeq and is a predicted model, not a curated record.
GGCUCCAGGCUCUGAGCUGUCAGCACAAGAGCCCCAUAUGGGGCUUGAACCCAUGAGCUGUGAGAUCAUGACCUGAGCAGAAGUCAGAUGCUCAGCUGACUGAGCCACCCAGGCGCCCUCUUUAGGAUUUUUAAUGAAAGUUGUGCUUCUCCCCUUGAAUUAAUUCCUGACUUUCUCUCUGUCAAAGCCACACUGACUCAAAGUAAGGAUCUGGUUAGACUGACCUUUUGAAGAUGAAGACAUUCUUCCUUGGUGACCAAAAUUUGUUGAAAGUAUGCUUCCUGAUCUAAAUAAUUUUCACAUGAGCACUUAGGUAUCAUCUCCCUUUUAUGGCUGAGGAAAUAAGGCUCAAAUUCAUGGAGCUAGUUAAUGGAGAUGCAGAAUUUGAAUCCAGAUCUAUGUGGCUCAAAAACUUGUAACCCUAUCCAUUGUGAGGAACUGUCUCACUCUUCAAAUUCCAAAGCUCUAAAAUUUUAGAAACUCCUUAUGAUAUAUGCAGUUAUCUUUUAUUAUUAUGUAUUUAUGAAUACAUUGGAUUUGAAAAAAAUUUCAAAAUAUUACACAAUAUUAUUUAACAGUAAAAAUAAGAAGCAUCUAUAGAGAAGCAUCUACAAUUCUCUGCCAACAAGUCAACUUUCCCAAUUUCUUAAUUAUCAUUUGGUUCUUACUCAUAGGAAUAUUCAAAAUCAAGUUGUAAUUACAAAUUUGUAGCUUUAUUAUCUUUAUGUAUUAAAUAUGUACUCCAUGUUAUUAUAAUUUUUGGGUUACUGGUUUUCAUUACUCUAUAUUUGUCCAUUGAAUUAAUGCACUAUACUUCACUGCCCCCAAUACUAAGCAUGUGUAUUAAUCCAAGUACUUCCCUAUUUUAAAUAACAUUCUACAAGCAUCUCAGUUGUUUCGGUAUUUCUUUUUUCCUUUAGGUAAAUUUCCAUGAGUGGGAUUGCUGUGCCAAAGGGCAAGAUGAACAUUUUAAAAUCUGUAAACAUCCUAGAUUAUUUGAAACUCUUGCUGGGAAGGAAUUUUCUCAGACAUGGACUUCAUUUCCUCCUGGUGGGAUCAUACUAGUUCUUGUCAAUGGAAGAUGUGAGUCAUUCUCCAGUACAGGGGGUGAAAAAAUUGUUCAUCUGGAAAACUUCCUUCAGGAUAUUCUCCAAAACUGUAAACUCCAUAAGGACAGGACUUUCUGCUUUUUUCACUGCUAUAUUCACAGGCUUGGAACAGCGCUUGACAUGGGUAGUUUAAUGACUAUUUGAUGAAUGACUUCACCACAGCAUGACCUGCUUCAGGAUGUCUCCCCUAAUACUCCCAAGGUCUGACCUCUGUGCCACUCCUAUGCAUUCAAAAACAUUCUGGGCUACUUCUAUUAUAUAUUCUAUUAUAUAUUCGACUAAAUGUCCACGAUGUUAACUUGUCAGUCUACCCACUAGACUCUAAACUCUUUGUGAGCAGGAAAUGAAUCUCCUUUAUUUGUAUCUCCAGUGCCAAGCACUGACACAAAAUAAAUGAUUAAUAAAUGG